Molecule: ribosomal RNA, 253 nt
Filed under: uncultured bacterium
Lineage: Bacteria
Description: partial 16S ribosomal RNA
Rfam family: Bacterial small subunit ribosomal RNA
Source: RNAcentral
UACGGGGGGGGUAAGCGUUGUUCGGAAUUACUGGGCGUAAAGGGCUCGUAGGCGGCCAACUAAGUCAUACGUGAAAUCCCUCAGCUUAGCUGGGGAACUGCGUGUGAUACUGGAUGGCUUGGAUUUGGGAGAGGGAUGCGGAAUUCCAGGUGUAGCGGUGAAAUGCGUAGAUAUCUGGAGGAACACCGGUGGCGAAGGCGGCAUCCUGGACCAAUAUUGACGCUGAGGAGCGAAAGCUAGGGGAGCAAACGGG